UACCGUCCACAUUGCAUUUCCAGACCCCAGGUGAUGGAGUUUCUCACAGUAGGGACCUUGACUUGGUGCACGAGAGUUGUACCUUGCCUAUGUCUCUAACUUAAUGUGCCUAUCUCUGUUCCUACAAAAACUUCCUCACUAGAAAGAUGGAGGUAUAAUCGCCAAACAUCCUUCAAGUCCAUAGAAAUUCAUUCCUUUCAAGUGAGAGGCACCAUAAGCAGCAAACUAUCUCCGUUAACUCUCGUUUUGCCAUUGUUUUAGCUUGAUGUUCCAUCCAUUUGAAUACGUCAAUGGUCUGUCUUGCCUGGAAAUAUAUAUCCAAUUUUCUCCUUGUCACAUCUAGGGCACAAGUUCAUAAUUCCAAUCCCUUUCUCCUGCAGUUUAGAUUUUACUAGGGGGAUAUUAUUCAGCAAU
RNAcentral lists this long non-coding RNA (414 nucleotides) under Carica papaya (papaya). RNAcentral describes it as "long non-coding RNA (CPAP_LNC014153)". Lineage: Eukaryota; Viridiplantae; Streptophyta; Magnoliopsida; Brassicales; Caricaceae. The record is from RNAcentral.